UUCCUGGAGACUAUAAAUAGAGAGGAAGAGUGAGCGUAGUAUAUACAAAAGCCAAAUCACAAGAGUCAUAUAUUGCUGUAAAAUAUGAAGAAAGCUAUUCUAAUUGCUUUUCUCAUUUGGGUUUCUGCCAUAUUUCUCUCCCUUCCCUCUUCCACUCAUGCACGUCUAUUACAAGAAAGGACAUCAAUAACCUCGCCAACGCCGGAGAAGAAUACGCCUGCAGUAAAAUGUCCUCCUGGUUCUCGUUAUGCUGCUUGCCUUCCACCACGAGCAAAGCCCAUUCCAAAAGCUCCUUGCAAUCCCUAUGAGCGUGGCUGUAAGAAGUAGGAAAUAAAAGAAAUAUAUGAAUGAUACGUAUAAGGUAUAAUAAUAAUAUAUAGUCCUUUUGCUUGGUGGAAGAUCAUGAUAACAAUCUCCUAAUAAUCCAUUAUUAAAUAAAUUACUCUCAUGUUUCUGUGUCAUGUGUGUUGUUUCAGCUUUUGAUUAUCAUUUCUCCUUUGAGGAAAAUGUCUUCAUGCCUAGAUUAUUUGAUGGGAAGUCGAGGUUUAGGUUUCUCAUGAAUUCUACAUGUACGUGUGAGCGUGAGAAUUAUGUAAUUCUUAAAUUUAUGUGCUGGUGUUGUACUUGAAAUAAAGAAUUAACUCCACU
This is a long non-coding RNA of Neltuma alba, 648 nucleotides long. RefSeq lists it as uncharacterized. Lineage: Eukaryota; Viridiplantae; Streptophyta; Magnoliopsida; Fabales; Fabaceae. The transcript has 2 exons. The record is from RefSeq and is a predicted model, not a curated record.